This 253-nucleotide ribosomal RNA is filed under the name uncultured bacterium. RNAcentral's name for it is "partial 16S ribosomal RNA". It matches the Rfam family "Bacterial small subunit ribosomal RNA", at positions 524 to 776 of the family's 1533-position model. The record is from RNAcentral.
UACGUAGGGGGCAAGCGUUGUCCGGAUUUAUUGGGCGUAAAGAGCGUGUAGGCGGUCAGGUAGGUCCGUUGUGAAAACUCGAGGCUCAACCUCGAGACGCCGAUGGAAACCAUCUGACUAGAGUCCGGAAGAGGAGAGUGGAAUUCCUGGUGUAGCGGUGAAAUGCGUAGAUAUCGGGAGGAACACCAGUGGCGAAGGCGACUUCCUGGCCUGUUCUUGACGCUGAGGCGCGAAAGCUAGGGUAGCAAACGGG